Humulus lupulus (European hop) is the source of this 433-nucleotide long non-coding RNA. RefSeq lists it as uncharacterized. The record is from RefSeq and is a predicted model, not a curated record. Lineage: Eukaryota; Viridiplantae; Streptophyta; Magnoliopsida; Rosales; Cannabaceae. The transcript is spliced from 4 exons.
GGCUGGUUUGAAGAAAUUCUAAGGAGAUCCAAGUGAAAGCAAAGCCAAAGAAGUAGAUUAAGCUUAGUUCUAGCCUUUUUAUGAUAUUUCUUGGGGUUUCCAAGUGGUUUGAGGUUUAGAAAAGCUUGAAGAGAUUGUUUUCGCCGAAAAGUUGCUCGGAUAAGCACAUCAAUACCUAAGACACCACUUGUUACACGGUGAAUUAUAUUUUGGACAGAAGGUAGAGAAAGAAAUGUGUGAAUGACAUGAGGAGAACUGAAGCAUGGUCCUGACCCUGAUUUGUACAUAUGAACAUAUCGACCUUUUGUGGGUUAUUUCAGUUAUCAGUGAGAUGUUUGUAAUAAAGUGUGAAAUUAUGUUUUGAAAAUAAAUUGGGUUAUUUAAUACUUAUGUAUAAUAUGUUUGAGACACACUUUAUGUUUAAUGUAAAUAA